Molecule: transfer RNA, 116 nt
Filed under: Anaerolineaceae bacterium
Lineage: Bacteria; Bacillati; Chloroflexota; Anaerolineae; Anaerolineales; Anaerolineaceae
Description: tRNA-Lys
Source: RNAcentral
AGCUCAAUGGUAGAGCAACUGACUCUUAAUCAGCAGAGUUCUAGGGGUUAUCGUUUAACCCCCACAUCUACUAUCAACUGCUAAAAUUGGCCUAAAAAUUCCACCCCUACUACCCA